Molecule: long non-coding RNA, 1835 nt
Filed under: Crocodylus porosus (Australian saltwater crocodile)
Lineage: Eukaryota; Metazoa; Chordata; Crocodylia; Crocodylidae
Description: lncRNA (ENSCPRG00005003112.1)
Source: RNAcentral
CGCACAUACACACAUCCCAGGCAGUCCCCCAAGCCCUGGCCCUCCAACUCCCACUUACCUGCAUCCAGGUGCGGGGACUACUUGCACCCUCUGCCAGGUGCACGCCAGCCACGUGCAUGUUCCCCUGCCUCCCACCCCCUCACCCCCAGCCCCAACCAGCUCCUUGCUAGGGCAAGCCAGGAAGUGCUGGGAAAAACUUUGAAGGUGAGCUGACCAAACUCCUGGACAUUUGAUCAUAUCUAAAAAAACAAACAAACCCGCCCAGACUGAGAUCAGAGGAUCCAAAAAGAGGACACGUCCAGGAAAACCCAGACAUACAGUAACCCUACCCUUGGGGUGCCCCUUUAAGGCUAUGUCGAUGCAAUCUGCUGCAGAUUUGAAUUGCACCAAAACCUCAGGAGAGCAGUAACGAGAUUAAAGCCGGCAACAUCUCCUGACCCCCGGGGCUGCUGUCAGAUCCAGUAACCCAGUGAGCGAUUUCAAGCAAACCCAAGUCCUCAGGAUCGCCUCUGACGGGCAUCUGGGUAGUACUGGCUGCGAGCGUUACUUCCAUCUCACUGAUUACUCAGGGUGGACGAAAGCCUGACUCACUGCGCGGAGGCGGGAGGGAGCGGAGAGGCAGAGACUUUCAUCUGUGGACAGAGAAGCAUGGUUUGUUUGCAGUGAUCUGAGUUUCAGGGCAUGAUUUCAGACAGAUACCCAAUCCCUUACCCCUGCGUGCGGGCACACGGAUGCACUGAGUCAACCACCAGCGCUUUUGUAGCCGCGUUGACCCGCUUGGAGCUGGAAGCUGCAAAAAAAAAAAAGAUCCCACCUCUGUAGUCAGGGCCCAGAUCUCCCACGUAGCUUGGCUGCUACUCAACAAAUGGCUGGCUUUUGAAAAUGGCCUGGCAUGUGGGUUGUGGAUCCCUCUAAAAGAAAGACCCUGCCAGGGUUAUGGGUGUUGAAGAAUUGGCAGCGUGGUCCUGCUCUGCUCUGGGGAGUCAGCCCCCUUUCCUUCUGCUGCCAAGGGGGCUGCGGCAUUGAGGAUCGGAGCCAAGUUUUCUCCACCGCUGCUUUUGCUAUUUGUGCCAUCCUCUUGCUGCCGUCGGAUGGAUCAAGAGAUUUUGAACCAUGGCUACAACCUGGAUACCUGGCACCCUCCUUGUACACAUGUGUGCCGUGGACCUUUCACAAGGAAACUCGGAGCUUUCCAUUUGGAGGGGAUCGCUGUUGAAAUCCAAGCUGGACCAGUGCAGCCAUACCUUGUGCCUUCAAAAAACCAUGCUUUGCCAAGCUGGAAGUGUUGCCCGUCCUCCUGAUCCUGGAUGUCCGUCCGUCCAUGCACUAAGGGUUAUUUUAGGAGAGGCGCUGAGAGCAAUCUGAGCUGUAAAAUCCGAGCCCCCCCAACCACACACACAACAUGUGCCUGAGCUUGGUUUUGCUUGCACCAGCAUAAAGUGAGAAUAACAUUUGUAAUGUCAGUGGAGUCGCACAGCUGCAAAAGCAGGGAAGUGAGUCGGGAUCAGGCCUCUGCUCCUAAGUGGGUUAUUAAUCACUUCUGCCCACUCUCACCUGCCAGGAAAAAGACUUCUGGUGUCACCGAAGGAGUCACGGGAGUCGAUACCUUCCACACACACAAAUCAGUUCACACUACUGACCUGCAAAAAUGCCAUUGUCUCCCCUGCCCGCGCCCCGUCUGCUUUCUCAACUUGAAACCAGGGGCUGCAUGAGCCAGCUUGGCUGGACUUGCUUCUAGCACUACGACGUCUUAGGGCAGGGGGGUUUCAACCUCUCUUCAUAUGAAGAUCCCUAAAAAAAAUAAAUGGAAGUGCAGAGCCCUUUGAAUGGUAAGU